GCCCUGGCAGUCAGAGGCGAUGAAGGGCGUGCUAAUCUGCGAUAAGCGCCGGUAAGGUGAUAUGAACCGUUAUAACCGGCGAUACCCGAAUGGGGAAACCCAGUGUGAUUCGUCACACUAUCAUUAACUGAAUCCAUAGGUUAAUGAGGCGAACCGGGGGAACUGAAACAUCUAAGUACCCCGAGGAAAAGAAAUCAACCGAGAUUCCCCCAGUAGCGGCGAGCGAACGGGGAGGAGCCCAGAGCCUGAAUCAGCAUGUGUGUUAGUGGAAGCGUCUGGAAAGGCGCGCGAUACAGGGUGACAGCCCCGUACACAAAAGCGCAUGUGCUGUGAGCUCGAUGAGUAGGGCGGGACACGUGGUAUCCUGUCUGAAUAUGGGGGGACCAUCCUCCAAGGCUAAAUACUCCUGACUGACCGAUAGUGAACCAGUACCGUGAGGGAAAGGCGAAAAGAACCCCGGCGAGGGGAGUGAAAAAGAACCUGAAACCGUGUACGUACAAGCAGUGGGAGCACAGGUUUACCUGUGUGACUGCGUACCUUUUGUAUAAUGGGUCAGCGACUUAUAUUCUGUAGCAAGGUUAACCGAAUAGGGGAGCCG
Molecule: ribosomal RNA, 598 nt
Filed under: Salmonella enterica
Lineage: Bacteria; Pseudomonadati; Pseudomonadota; Gammaproteobacteria; Enterobacterales; Enterobacteriaceae
Description: partial 23S ribosomal RNA
Rfam family: Bacterial large subunit ribosomal RNA
Source: RNAcentral